Molecule: long non-coding RNA, 506 nt
Organism: Myotis brandtii (Brandt's bat)
Lineage: Eukaryota; Metazoa; Chordata; Mammalia; Chiroptera; Vespertilionidae
Exons: 2
Source: RefSeq, a predicted model, not a curated record
GGGACACCUUCGUGGACAACCAGGGCCAGCCAUUCAGGCCCUGGCCUCACCUGGUAGAACACAUUGGAUCGGAAUCUCAGGAGCUGAAGGACAUUCUCAGGACAGGGAAACUGAAGGAGGGACUCAAUCUCUCUAAAAAAGUCGGGGGUCUUCUGGUGAACGACGCAUAAAACACUUUCUUCAAGAAAUGAAAACGCAUCACGUGCCGCCAUCCCCAUCUUGAUCCAAAGAAUCCAGUAAAAAGCAACAAAUAAGCUCAUAAGGAAUUUUUUAAAAAUCUGACUGAUUUACUUUUCAUUUAAAAUCUAUGAUAUGUUCUAAAUACACACCAGUAAUAUUGCAUUCAUUACUAUCAGAAUCAUUUUUAUAUUUAGAAAAUUGAUUAUUUACAUUGAUUUUAAAUCCAAAGCAAUAACAUGAAAGAUUAAAAAUCUUCCACACAAUGCUUUUUCCUCUGUAAGUGUUUCAUGAAGUCCAAAUAGUUCAAUAAACACCUGAAAAAGUGA